UCUAAUACCGGAUAUGACACGGGAUCGCAUGGUCUCCGUGUGGAAAGCUCCGGCGGUGCAGGAUGAGCCCGCGGCCUAUCAGCUUGUUGGUGGGGUGAUGGCCUACCAAGGCGACGACGGG
This 121-nucleotide ribosomal RNA is filed under the name Streptomyces albus. Its description in RNAcentral is "partial 16S rRNA". It matches the Rfam family "Bacterial small subunit ribosomal RNA", at positions 162 to 283 of the family's 1533-position model. RNAcentral also lists the same sequence under 1 other name. Lineage: Bacteria; Bacillati; Actinomycetota; Actinomycetes; Kitasatosporales; Streptomycetaceae. The record is from RNAcentral.